Molecule: ribosomal RNA, 406 nt
Filed under: uncultured bacterium
Lineage: Bacteria
Description: partial 16S ribosomal RNA
Rfam family: Bacterial small subunit ribosomal RNA
Source: RNAcentral
AUUGAACGCUAGCGGCAGGCCUAACACAUGCAAGUCGAACGAGUCGCGGGCGGAUGAGUAAGGUAUGGGACACUGACUGAGGGAGGGGGAUAACUACUGGAAACGGUAGCUAAUACCGCAUACCAUCAGAUGUGCCGAGAUGGGAUUAGCUAGUUGGUGGGGUAACGGCUCACCAAGGCGACGAUCCCUAGCUGGUCUGAGAGGAUGACCAGCCACACUGGAACUGAGACACGGUCCAGACUCCUACGGGAGGCAGCAGUGGGGAAUAUUGGACAAUGGGCGCAAGCCGGAUGCAGCCAUGCCGCGUGGAUGAUGAAGGCCUUCGGGUUGUAAAGUACUUUCAGCGGGGAGGCGUUACCCGCAGAAGAAGCACCGGCUAACUCCGUGCCAGCCGCCGCGGUAAUAC